UGAGUAGGAUAAAUGGUCGCGGAUGCUAUUGCCGAAAGGACGCAGACGAGGAAAGUCCGGGCUUCAUAGGGCAGGAUGCCGGCUAACGGCCGGUGGAGGUGACUCCCAGGAAAGUGCAACAGAGAGCAGACCGCCGGAUAUUCUCCGGUAAGGGUGAAAGGGCAGUGUAAGAGACUACCGCCUUUUUGGUAACAGAAAGGGCAUUGUAAACCCCAUUCGAAGCAAGACUGAACAGAAAGCAUAAAGUGGCCCGCUUGCUUUCGGGUAGGUCGCUUGAACAUAUUGGCAACAAUAUGUCUAGAUAGAUGACCAUUCAUGACAUAACCCGGCUUACAGUCCUACUCAUUAA
Molecule: non-coding RNA, 349 nt
Organism: Eubacterium sp. CAG:156
Lineage: Bacteria; Bacillati; Bacillota; Clostridia; Eubacteriales; Eubacteriaceae
Rfam family: Bacterial RNase P class A
About the family: Ribonuclease P (RNase P) is a ubiquitous endoribonuclease, found in archaea, bacteria and eukarya as well as chloroplasts and mitochondria. Its best characterised activity is the generation of mature 5'-ends of tRNAs by cleaving the 5'-leader elements of precursor-tRNAs. Cellular RNase Ps are ribonucleoproteins.
Source: Rfam